This 762-nucleotide long non-coding RNA is filed under the name Felis catus (domestic cat). RNAcentral's name for it is "lncRNA (ENSFCAG00000050147.1)". Lineage: Eukaryota; Metazoa; Chordata; Mammalia; Carnivora; Felidae. The record is from RNAcentral.
AUGACAAACCCCAGGAGACCUCGGCUGGGCGUCGGUCAGCUGACCCAUCGCCGUCCACACGGUCCCCUCCGCACCCCAAGCCGCGGCCCCCGCCCGCUAAGUCACAGGAGCGGCUCCCAGAAUCCACGCAGCACCACGCACGAGCACGCUGUUGGCCAAGGGAAGCAAAGCAAGCAUCACACGGCGCCCCUGGUGACUCUCCUCUUGGCCACAACGAAAAGGCAACUAUCACUUGGUGUGGAGGGUUUUCCACCCACGUGUUUAGCAAGCAUGAGGCUGGACACGGCAGCACACCCAGAUACCGGCGUCCCAGGCGCCCCGUACUGGAGCCUGAGGAAAGCGAGUCAGGGCCCCGCACCUGCCUUGCAGCCCUGUCUCCACUCGCGAGAACCGCUUCAAGUGGCUUCCUCACGCGGGGCCUGGAGCGCCUGCUUGCGAGGACGCUGUACCCCACGAAGGAGGUGGGAUGGGGUCUCGAUGUCUCAUGCAGUGGAGCGCCCGGACCCCAGAAAACUCUCCGGGAAGUUCGGCCAAGAGCUACCCAAAACCCGAGGAAAAAACCUGAUUCUCCUUGGGGAAUACCAACUUUACUCAAAGUGCUCGUCCCCUGGUGCGCACCGAGUUUCUCCAGGGUACGGACCUGACUCGAGAGCACGUACACGUGGUCAGCUCUCCUGGGCCGUGCCACCGCGCCCGUGGACAAUGAGCUCUUCAGCCGCCUUUCCAGCCUCUCCCAAAUCACAGGCGUGCUUGUGUCGCUAA